Molecule: ribosomal RNA, 532 nt
Filed under: Escherichia coli
Lineage: Bacteria; Pseudomonadati; Pseudomonadota; Gammaproteobacteria; Enterobacterales; Enterobacteriaceae
Description: partial 23S ribosomal RNA
Rfam family: Bacterial large subunit ribosomal RNA
Source: RNAcentral
CUUAUGCGUUGUUGGGUAGGGGAGCGUUCUGUAAGCCUGUGAAGGUGUGCUGUGAGGCAUGCUGGAGGUAUCAGAAGUGCGAAUGCUGACAUAAGUAACGAUAAAGCGGGUGAAAAGCCCGCUCGCCGGAAGACCAAGGGUUCCUGUCCAACGUUAAUCGGGGCAGGGUGAGUCGACCCCUAAGGCGAGGCCGAAAGGCGUAGUCGAUGGGAAACAGGUUAAUAUUCCUGUACUUGGUGUUACUGCGAAGGGGGGACGGAGAAGGCUAUGUUGACCGGGCGACGGUUGUCCCGGUUUAAGCGUGUAGGCUGGUUUUCCAGGCAAAUCCGGAAAAUCAAGGCUGAGGCGUGAUGACGAGGCACUACGGUGCUGAAGCAACAAAUGCCCUGCUUCCAGGAAAAGCCUCUAAGCAUCAGGUAACAUCAAAUCGUACCCCAAACCGACACAGGUGGUCAGGUAGAGAAUACCAAGGCGCUUGAGAGAACUCGGGUGAAGGAACUAGGCAAAAUGGUGCCGUAACUUCGGGAGAAGG